This is a long non-coding RNA of Ochotona princeps (American pika), 325 nucleotides long. RefSeq lists it as uncharacterized. The record is from RefSeq and is a predicted model, not a curated record. NCBI's taxonomy places the organism in Eukaryota, Metazoa, Chordata, Mammalia, Lagomorpha, Ochotonidae. The transcript has 3 exons.
AGGGCGGCCUGAAGGAGCUGGCAGGUGUCCGCGUGUCCCUCUUGCCUUGUGUGUCCGGUCAGCUGUGAAGGCUGGGUGACUUUGAACUUGAUGGACCCAAGACCUGUCUCGUGAGGUGUAAACCAGCCCCAAAGCAAGAUGGCGUUUGUCGCAACACAAGGGGCCACCGUGGUUGACCAAACUACACUGAUGAAGAAAUACCUCCAGUUUGUGGCAGCUCUCACGGAUGUGAACACACCUGAUGAAACAAAGUUAAAAAUGAUGCAAGAAGUUAUCGAGAAUUUUGAGGUAUGAGCUUCGUACUUCAUGUUUCUCAUGUUGAAGC